RNAcentral lists this ribosomal RNA (253 nucleotides) under uncultured bacterium. RNAcentral's name for it is "partial 16S ribosomal RNA". It matches the Rfam family "Bacterial small subunit ribosomal RNA", at positions 524 to 776 of the family's 1533-position model. The record is from RNAcentral.
UACGUAGGUGGCAAGCGUUGUUCGGAAUUACUGGGCGUAAAGCGCGCGUAGGCGGCUCUUCAAGUCAGGCGUGAAAGCCCCGGGCUUAACUCGGGAACUGCGCUUGAUACUGUCGAGCUAGAGUGUGGAAGGGGCGAUUGGAAUUCCGUGUGUAGCGGUGAAAUGCGUAGAUAUACGGAGGAACACCAGGGGCGAAGGCGGAUCGCUGGGCCAACACUGACGCUGAUGCGCGAAAGCUAGGGGAGCGAACAGG